UUUAGGGGUAAAGCACUGUUUCGGUGCGGGCUGGUAAAACGGUACCAAAUCGAGGCAAACUAAGAAUACUAAAUGAAUAAUUUACCAGUGAGACUGUGGGGGAUAAGCUCCAUUGUCAAGAGGGAAACAGCCCAGAGCACCAGUUAAGGCCCCAAAAUGAUUGCUAAGUGGCAAAGGAGGUGGGAGUGCAUAGACAAUCAGGAGGUUUGCUUAGAAGCAGCAAUCCUUUAAAGAGUGCGUAAUAGCUCACUGAUCGAGUAAACCUGCGCCGAAAAUGUACGGGACUAAGUAAUCUGCCGAAACUGUGCGAUAUAUAAAUAAUUAAUAUAUCGGUAGGGGAGCGUUCUGUUGUAGGUCGAAGUAUUAGCGUAAGCGGAUAUGGACGAAGCAGAAGUGAGAAUGUCGGCUUGAGUAACGAAAAUAUAGGUGGGAAUCCUAUACCCCGAAAACCCAAGGUUUCCUCCGGAAGGCUCGUCCGCGGAGGGUAAGUCAGGACCUAAGGCGAGGCUGAAAAGCGUAGUCGAUGGACAACGGGUUAAUAUUCCCGUACCUGCUCACACUAAAAGUGACGGAUCUCUGGAGUUGCUGCGUACUGACGGAAUAGUACGUUGAAGCAGUAAUGCGAUAGUACACUAAGGCUACGGCCGCGGUGAUAAUGUAGCGAAGGAGGUUCCAAGAAAAGCGAGUGAAGCAGCCUGUACCGUAAACCGACACAGGUGGUUGGGAUGAGAAUUCUAAGGUGCUCGAGAGAUUCAUGGCUAAGGAACUAGGCAAAAUCGACCCGUAACUUCGGGAGAAGGGUCGCCCUCCAAUGGAGGGCCGCAGUGAAGAGGUCCAGGCGACUGUUUAUCAAAAACACAGGGCUCUGCUAAAUCGAAAGAUGAUGUAUAGGGCCUGACACCUGCCCGGUGCCGGAAGGUUAAGAGGAGAGUUUAGCUUCGGCGAAGAUUUGAAUUGAAGCCCCGGUAAACGGCGGCCGU
Molecule: ribosomal RNA, 980 nt
Filed under: Extubocellulus spinifer
Lineage: Eukaryota; Bacillariophyta; Thalassiosirophyceae; Cymatosirales; Cymatosiraceae
Description: partial Bacterial large subunit ribosomal RNA
Rfam family: Bacterial large subunit ribosomal RNA
Source: RNAcentral